Molecule: long non-coding RNA, 2490 nt
Filed under: Ananas comosus (pineapple)
Lineage: Eukaryota; Viridiplantae; Streptophyta; Magnoliopsida; Poales; Bromeliaceae
Description: long non-coding RNA (ACOM_LNC030805)
Source: RNAcentral
UUCUUUCCCAUGGCCUGAUUGGUCGAGUACAGUUAGGGCGUGUUUGGUUCGCUUCUUUUUCACUCUAAGGGCUUAUUUGGUUCAUCCAUUUUGGUAUGGAUUGGGAAUCCGUUUGAUCAAAUCCUGUUAAGUUUGUUUGAUUCACAUGAAUCGGUUUGGGAUUUCUAUUCCGGACUGGAAUAGGAAUGGUCCAUUAGCCUUCAACUUGAUUUCGGUCUUCUAGUCCGGAUUGAGAUUUCAUUCCGGAAGCCCACUAAGUUCUCGAAGCCCAUGUGACCAUCUCACCCUCCUUCUCUUCACCCAUUUCUCGUCAAAAAAAAAAAAAAACCUAUCCUCUCUCAAAAUCCUAUCCCUAACCCACAUCAAUAAAAAAUUUUAAAAAUAAAUUUGAUAAUUUUUUUGGAAAACUUAUUAGAGAAUAGUAUUAUAUUUUUCAUAAAUUUUAAAUAAUAUAAAUUUAUAUUUGACAGUAAAAUUAGUAUUAUAAUAUCCUAUAAUUUGUUUAGUUUAUACGAACCAAACAAUGAAAUGUGAAUAACUCAUUUCAAUUCUCAAUCCACAAAUAAACCAAACGUCUUGAAGGAGUGGGCCAUUCCAAUUGACAUUCCAAUUCAUUCUCAUUACAUUAUCCAUUACAAUUCCACCCUUGAACCAAACAAGCCCUAAAAUCGGAAUCGGAAUGGGCGAAUCCGUUUGUGGGUGUUUGGUACGUGGGGGUCUCUUUCCGAUUCCGAUUUUCGAGUGGAAUAGGAAUUUCUCAAUCAUCUCUUUUUCCAAUCUGGCCAGCCUGCCGGAUUGGAAGGUCUAGAAGGCCGGAUUGGAAGUUAAAUCCAGACGUAAUAUAUAUUUAUUUGGAUUAAAUUUAUUUUUUCAACUUUGUCUAAUUAAAAUAUGAGUUUAAAUUUAGAAAUUAAAUUUAUAAUUUUAAAUAUUAAUUUAAAAUUGAAUUAAAAAUUAAAAUUUAAUCAAGUAUUUCAAAUCUAACUUAUGAAUUUGAAUUUAAAUUAAAUUUUAAUUUAUAUAAAGUUUUAUUCAAAUUUUAUUUAAAACUUAAAUUAAAUUUAUGGAUUCAAAUUAAAAUUUAAAUUGUAAUUUUAAGUUUGAAUUUGAAUAAAUCAAAAUUUAGUUUUAUAUUUUGAAUUAUCGACUCAACUUCAAAGUUUAAUUUUUUUAAAAAAAUAGAUAUAAAAUUUUGACAUUAUUUCAAAAUUUUGAUAUAAAUUUUAAUAUUUAAUUUUCAAUUUGAAUUUAAAUUAAUAUAUUAUAAAGAUAAAGUUAGUAGAGUGAGGCUACUAUGCUUCUGGAAGCACAGAGUCUUCUGUGCUUCCACGUCGUUUUUGAUGUUGCGACUUUCGAAUCGUUGAUCGGCUCCGUUAAACUUGAUAUAGUGUAUUUGAAGUAUCUACAAAAUAAAUUUGCAAUUUUUCGAUAUCAUUUGCCUAGUAAACUAAGGGGCUUAAAAUCAACGGCUGAAAAUAAAAAUCUUACAAAACGUGAUAAUAUGACAUUAAAAUUUUAUAUCAAAGAUAUUGAUCUUGUUUUAUAUAGUAUAAAGAAUUUUCUAUCAAAAUUUCACGUGAUUUGGAUAUUUCUACAUCGUUAAACUUGCAAAUGGCUCACUACGGUCAUUGAAAUUAUUAAUUUUGAGUCCCUUCGAUCACUAGGCAAAUGAUAUCGAAAAAUCAUAAAAUUUAUUUUUUAAGUACUUCAAAUACUCUAGAUCAAGUUUAAUGGAGCCGAUCAACGAUUCGAAAGUCGCAACAUCGAAAACGAUCUGGAAGCACGGAAGGCUCCAUGCUUCUAGAAGCAUAGUAGCCUCACUCAAGUUAGUAUAUUAAUUUGAUUACGUUUUUUAUAUCUACUUGAACCAAACACUGAUAAUGGGAAUGAUUUAUUCCGAUUUCGAUUCAGGUGACGAACCAAACAAAAUUAGGUAAUGAGUCAUUCUGAUUUUGUUUCUAGUUUAUUUCGAUUCCGAUUCUGACUUCGAACCAACCACGCCCUUAUAUUAUAAAUAAAUACAGCAUAGUUGGAAAUGUGUAUUCCUAAACAUAAAUUGUGUCGAUUUAUUUAACCAUAACUAAUUUUAAAAUAAAAGGCUAAAUUAAAGAAAACUCUUCUGUCAAAAUUCGAUUUUUCACUUUUCCCCCUGUCAUUUAAAAACCUACACUUUGCCCCAUUGUAAAAUAAAAAAUAUUCACUUCACUCCCUGCCGUUAGUGAUCCGUUAAGAUUCUGUUUAUAAAAUAUUAUUAUAUAUUUUUUUAUGCCAAAUACUCUCAGCCUUCUUUCAUGUUGCCAAAAAUGGUGAGAGGCAAAAUGGUCAUUUUGUCAUCACAGUUUACACCGUACCUCUUGUGACCAUUUUUUAUUUUGCAUGGGGGCAAAGUGUAGGUUUUUAAAUGACGGGGGAGAAAAGUAAAAAAUCGGGUUUUGACUGGAGGGUUUUAUAUAAUUUAGCCUAAAUAAAAGCAGUUUUUUAAUUAAACUA